RNAcentral lists this ribosomal RNA (292 nucleotides) under uncultured bacterium. Its description in RNAcentral is "partial 16S ribosomal RNA". It matches the Rfam family "Bacterial small subunit ribosomal RNA", at positions 505 to 796 of the family's 1533-position model. The record is from RNAcentral.
GUGCCAGCCGCCGCGGUAAUACAGAGGGUGCAAGCGUUGUUCGGAAUUACUGGGCGUAAAGCGUGCGUAGUCGGUAUUGAGAGUCGCGGGUGAAAUCCCAGGGCUUAACCCUGGAACUGCCUGCGAGACCUCAGUACUAGAGUGUGAGAGGGGAUAGUGGAAUACCCAGUGUAGCGGUGAAAUGCGUAGAGAUUGGGUGGAACACCGGUGGCGAAGGCGGCUAUCUGGCUCACAACUGACGAUCAGGCACGAAAGCGUGGGGAGCAAACAGGAUUAGAAACCCGUGUAGUCC